GGGCGUUAAGUUGCAGGGUAUAGACCCGAAACCCGGUGAUCUAGCCAUGGGCAGGUUGAAGGUUGGGUAACACUAACUGGAGGACCGAACCGACUAAUGUUGAAAAAUUAGCGGAUGACCUGUGGCUGGGGGUGAAAGGCCAAUCAAACCGGGAGAUAGCUGGUUCUCCCCGAAAGCUAUUUAGGUAGCGCCUCGUGAAUUCAUCUCCGGGGGUAGAGCACUGUUUCGGCUAGGGGGCCAUCCCGGCUUACCAACCCGAUGCAAACUGCGAAUACCGGAGAAUGUUAUCACGGGAGACACACGGCGGGUGCUAACGUCCGUCGUGAAGAGGGAAACAACCCAGACCGCCAGCUAAGGUCCCAAAGUCAUGGUUAAGUGGGAAACGAUGUGGGAAGGCCCAGACAGCCAGGAUGUUGGCUUAGAAGCAGCCAUCAUUUAAAGAAAGCGUAAUAGCUCACUGGUCGAGUCGGCCUGCGCGGAAGAUGUAACGGGGCUAAACCAUGCACCGAAGCUGCGGCAGCGACGUUUAUGCGUUGUUGGGUAGGGGAGCGUUCUGUAAGCCUGCGAAGGUGGCCUGUGAGGGUUGCUGGAGGUAUCAGAAGUGCGAAUGCUGACAUAAGUAACGAUAAAGCG
Molecule: ribosomal RNA, 633 nt
Filed under: Salmonella enterica subsp. enterica serovar Bovismorbificans
Lineage: Bacteria; Pseudomonadati; Pseudomonadota; Gammaproteobacteria; Enterobacterales; Enterobacteriaceae
Description: partial 23S ribosomal RNA
Rfam family: Bacterial large subunit ribosomal RNA
Source: RNAcentral